UACGUAGGGUGCGAGCGUUAAUCGGAAUUACUGGGCGUAAAGCGUGCGCAGGCGGUUCGUUGUGUCGGCGGUGAAAGCCCCGGGCUCAACCUGGGAAUGGCCGUUGAAACUGGCGAACUGGAGUGUGGCAGAGGGGGGUGGAAUUCCGCGUGUAGCAGUGAAAUGCGUAGAGAUGCGGAGGAACACCGGAGUGGAGCGGAAGGCCAGCCCCUGGG
This 215-nucleotide ribosomal RNA is filed under the name uncultured bacterium. Its description in RNAcentral is "partial 16S ribosomal RNA". It matches the Rfam family "Bacterial small subunit ribosomal RNA", at positions 524 to 733 of the family's 1533-position model. The record is from RNAcentral.